Molecule: small nuclear RNA, 183 nt
Organism: Pygocentrus nattereri (red-bellied piranha)
Lineage: Eukaryota; Metazoa; Chordata; Actinopteri; Characiformes; Serrasalmidae
Gene: U2
Rfam family: U2 spliceosomal RNA
About the family: U2 is a small nuclear RNA (snRNA) component of the spliceosome (involved in pre-mRNA splicing). Complementary binding between U2 snRNA (in an area lying towards the 5' end but 3' to hairpin I) and the branchpoint sequence (BPS) of the intron results the bulging out of an unpaired adenosine, on the BPS, which initiates a nucleophilic attack at the intronic 5' splice site, thus starting the first of two transesterification reactions that mediate splicing.
Source: Ensembl
UUCGCUUCUCGGCUAAGAUCAAGUGUAGUAUCUGUUCUUAUCAGUUUAAUAUCUGAUACCUCCUCUAUAUGACGACUACAUAUUAAAUAGAUUUUUAGAACAGGGAGACGGAAGAGGGGCUUGCUCCGUCCGCUCCACGCAUCGACCUGGUAUUGCAGUACCUCCGGGAAUGGUGCACCUCCU